UUCCUUGACUUUGACAAUUUUUCAGCGUCACAAGCAAGAAACCACCACCUGUGGGCCCCAGUGAGAGACUGAACUUACAAAGAGACGAUGACCACAGCAUAUGGAAAGGAAGAAGGAGCCACCCUCUGCAGGAGCCCUGAAGCCCGAAGAGCAGGAGGCCAGGCACUCGCCUUAGGACGGGGCCAGGAGGCCAGGCGCUUGCCUUAGGAUGGGGCCAGGAGGCCAGGCACUUGCCUUAGGACGGGGCCAGGAGGCCACACAGUGAUCCCUGUAGCAGUGGCCCCAUGCGGCCAAGACUUAAGAUAGCAGACACCUUCCCCGAUUUGUGUCUCUACUUAAAAUGUAAGAUCAGCUGGAGAAAGCCCAGUGUGCGCCCCCACCAAGCCCACAGGACUCCUGCUCCUGCAGAGCCGCCCCCGCCCCGUCAGGCCCACCGUGCUGGUGCUCAGGGGGCUGCAUCCUGCUGGGAGCACGAUUCCGGGUGUUUCUCCAGGCGCUGAGUCCGUGCCUCCUUUUUCGGUCACACAUCUUAUCAUUUGAGUUUAGCAUCUACUUAUAAACAUCAUUUUCAAAUCUGAAUCCUGCUUCCUCACUACAAUAAAAAGGAGAGACAAAAGGAAGUUGCGCCUACAACCUUCCAGAAGCCCUGAGGAGCCGCCCCAUGCCUGACGCCACAUCCCACAAGCUCCCGAAGUCGCGGAUGGCUCAGUGACAUUCCAGAUGCUGUCCCAUCGCUCAGAGUCCCGAGACACAGACAUGAACACCAAGUCCAUCCUUUGAGGAAGGCAGACUUGGCGGGAAUGUGGUUUUCUUCAAAGGUGAGGGGGUAGGGGGAGCUGCCAGGGCCCAGCCGGCAGGGGCAGGAGGGGCGGGGCUUCGGCCCAGGGCCCUGCACGGGGGUGACCAUCAGUGCCCCCCAUCACCGUGACAGUCCUAUCCCCAGUCUGCAAAAUGCCCCCUGGAUGGAGCAUCCCAUGAGAGCCGGGCCAUGGAGAGGCUGGAAUGUGCCAGACUCUGAGGCACCCAGGGGGUCAGCCUUUCCCUCUGGUUGGUCCCCCUGUGCCACACCGCAGCCUGCGCCUGGCCAGCUUCCCGUCCCUGCGAGCACAGCCUGCGCCUGGCCAGCUUCCCGUCCCUGCUGCGACCCCAUUACUAGGUCAUCGUCUCAUGCCAGAGAACUCGCAGGAAUCGCAUGCAAUGUUUAACGAGAGGCAGAAUGUGGGCACCAGGUGUGAAGCAGUCCCCGGCUGUGGACGGGAGACUCCAGGCUGCGCCAGGCAGGGCGCCUUCCCCUGGACCUUGAAGGGCACCCGAUGUCCUGGGGCCGUGAGGGGCGGGGUGCUUAUCCAUGUGACAGGACUCUUCCAGUAGCAACAGGGAGGGCCCAGCAAAACCCGCAGUUUGUUUCGGGCCACGUUCCAACAAGUGACUCGGCGGCGUCUCCCACCUGCACACUCAGUCAGGAGGCUGCAGUCUCCCGUCCAGCCCCACAGCCUGAGGGAUUCCUGUUGGUUACCCAGAACUGCCUGCCACAGGUGCCAGGGCAAGAGAUGUCACUCAAUUUUCCAGCCCCCAGUCCUGUAGACAUCCUGGGUGUGCGGCACACAUCGGCUCACUCACACUGACCCUCUGAGCCGGUGAGAACUCCACAAGAAGAGGGCCAGCGCCUCACAAGAUCAAGGCGGAACAACGCGUUUGUGGGAUGAUGAAGACCUCAUAACAGACGUGCCAGUGGGUUGAUUACUGUGAAAUUCUCAACUGUGGUUUCUGUAACUUAAAAAAAAAAAUUUCCACUUUGGGAGGCCGAGGCGGGCAGAUCACGAGGUCAGAAGAUCGAGACCAUCCUGGCUAACACAGUGAAACCCCGUCUCUACUAAAAAUACAAAAAAUUAGCCGGGCGUGGUGGCUGGUGCCUGUAGUCCCAGCUAUCUGGGAGGCUGAGGCAGGAGAAUGGCGUGAACCCAGGAGGAGGAGCUUGCAGUGAGCCGAGAUCGCACCACUGCACUCCAGCCUGGGCGACAGAGCGAGACUCUGUCUCAAAAAAAAAAAAAAAAAAAAAAAAAAGUCCAGACCAUGAUAUUCUUUUUAGGGAUGUUCUUUGCAGCAGUUCCCCUGCUAAAAUGAAUGAGAGCAAAGCAAAUUGCAGUUAGCAGUGUGCAUUCCCGACCUGUGGGCCCUGAUGGACACCAGUGCCUCUGCCACCUGGGCCAGUCGCGUUAAGUGCUGGGAUGGUGGGCCAGUGUCCAAGCAGAGCUUGUGAAGAAUCUGCACACGCCCCUUUUUGCAUGUGCUCACCCAAAGUGAAAUCAUCUCUGGGCCUUCCCUAAGAUCUCCUUGAGUCAGGAACCUGCAAGGGCACAGGCCGCCUGGCAGGCCAUUUUCAUACAUGGUCUCCCACUGUUCUGAGCAGGUGGCAGCUGCGAAUCUAUUCUUUAACAAUUUAAUAGAUGCCUCCUCGGAAAAAGCUAUUGACCUGAGACCAGUGGAGACUGGAGGACGAGAUGGGGUCAGAAGAAAGGACUGCAUACGGCCAGAGGCACCGUGGGGUUUUGGCCAGCACAGAGCCGGGGCGUUGAUUCUGAUGAGGUCUGGGCAGGAACCAAAGAGAGCUUCAUAGACAAGGCGGCAUCUGAGAUGAGCCUGGAAAACGCAGACAGGAGAGGAAUCGGCGGGGAGGGGGAGGGGUCCUCCGGGAGGAGCUCCGCUGCCAGCGUACCCAGGCGUGACGGCCGCUGCGUUCUCCACUGAUUAGAUCACGCUCAGACACACUACCUCCUCCCAGUACAAUUAAUCAAGAAAUAUUAAGCUAUAAUUUGAAUAAUCUGUGUGAAAAGGUCUUUCGAUGUGGAAUGAGAGACACCUUUGAGGAAAUACAUUACGAUACAGGCUAUUAACCUUUACCAAGCUAAUUAAAGCCAGCCAGGGUUAAAGCUGUCAAUGUAACUUUGCAUAAAUUUCCUCAAGAUUUCUACUUAAGGGGACUUGGGGAUUUCUUUUUCUCUUUUAAUUUUUAAUUUUGAAAAUGAGGCCCUGUAAACACUGCUUAUAUUUGGCCACUAAGUGGCCUCCUAAAUGGCUGAUUUCUUUUUAAAGUAUGAAGAUUGUUUGCUGUGGCAUUAUUAAUUACACACAGAUUUGUACCACUUUCCUCCACUAGAAUUAAGGAAAUUUGUAAAACCAACUCGUGGUCAGACUCCAGCAAAUGACCCAUCGUUUUCCACCAGUGUCUCUGUUUCUAUGUAAAAUUAUAGAUUAAACGCCAAGUCCUCUGCCUCCACCUGUCCAGGGUAAGUAACCACCUCCAGAAGUGAGAAGCUGGGAGUGGCUCUGAGAGGGGCUGACUCAAGUAUUCUCCUAAUAAAUAGGGGCGGGCGAAGCAUCAGGGCGAAUCCCACGUGAGGCAGAAAAGUGAGCUGAACUAUCCUGGAGUGUUUUGUUGCAUUCCAUAUCUCCCUCAAAACUCACUGACUCUGGAAGCAGUGGUUUUGAAGUCUUAAUUGAAACAAAGUUGAGAUUUUUAAGAAAAUUAACAAUUUCUAAUAUUUUCAAUUGUCUGGUGUUUCCAGCUUUUAUUGGCUCUUGUCGAAAUCAAAUUGGAAGAUCUUCAGUCCCAGCUGCACCCAACGUGGAAAAGUAUUCCAGGUCCAUCCCCAAGGAACCAACACCGAUGACAUGGACUCAGGAAUCUUAUAACCUACGUGGACUCUUUCCAUCCGUACAUUGUCGUGCACAUGCCACUCAUCACCUGGCGUGCCCAGAUCCUCGCAGGGCAACACCCUGUGAUAAUUCCAGGUGAUUCUCUACAUCUGCAGCUUGAGGUUAGCCUCAUAUCACAUUACAUUCUCACUAGAAACAAAACAAAAAUGAAAUACUUAAAACAUCUACCAGAACAGAAUUAGGACUGGAAAGCAGCGGUCUUAGCUGACAAACAAGUUGUGCCAUCUGAGACUCAUGGGAGUAAAUCUCCUCUUUCAUAGUAAAAUCUCAUUACAG
RNAcentral lists this long non-coding RNA (3993 nucleotides) under Homo sapiens (human). RNAcentral's name for it is "non-protein coding lnc-ERICH1-9:2". Lineage: Eukaryota; Metazoa; Chordata; Mammalia; Primates; Hominidae. The record is from RNAcentral.